UUUGGUUAAAAUGGAAACUCUAUUGAGGCUGAUCUUUAAGUUUGUGGUAUUACUUGUUGCUAUUGCAGGUAUUUUUGUUGGCAAUGUACAAGGUGGUAGUGGUGGUUAUAAAGAUUGUUGUAAGCCUUGGUGGCCAUGUGACCCAAUCGUCUGUCAUAGGCUUCCAUGUUGCAAUCCACCUAAAACUAUGUAGCACAUUUGAUAACUGCUAUACCAAUA
Molecule: long non-coding RNA, 219 nt
Filed under: Cicer arietinum (chickpea)
Lineage: Eukaryota; Viridiplantae; Streptophyta; Magnoliopsida; Fabales; Fabaceae
Description: long non-coding RNA (CARI_LNC000552)
Source: RNAcentral